GUCGAGAAUCUUCCGCAAUGCGCGAAAGCGUGACGGAGCGACACCGCGUGAUGGAUGAAGUCCUUCGGGGCGUAAACAUCUUUUAUAAAGGAGGAAAUUUUUGACGUUACUUUAUGAAUAAGGGGCUCCCAAUCUCGUGCCAGCAGGAGCGGUAAUACGAGAGCCUCAAGCGUUAUCCGGAAUCAUUGGGCGUAAAGGGUGCGUAGGUGGUUUGAUUAGUCUCCCGUUAAGACUUCGAGCUUAACUCGAAAAGAGCAGGGGAAACGGUCAAACUAGAGUAUGUGAGAGGUGUGUGGAACUCAUGGUGUAGGGGUGAAAUCCGUUGAUAUCAUGGGGAACACCAAAAGCGAAGGCAGCACACUGGCACAUCACUGACACUGAGGCACGAAACCUAAGGUAGCGAAUGGGAUUAGAUACCCUAGUAGUCC
Molecule: ribosomal RNA, 428 nt
Filed under: uncultured bacterium
Lineage: Bacteria
Description: partial 16S ribosomal RNA
Rfam family: Bacterial small subunit ribosomal RNA
Source: RNAcentral